RNAcentral lists this ribosomal RNA (569 nucleotides) under uncultured fungus. RNAcentral's name for it is "eukaryotic LSU rRNA". It matches the Rfam family "Eukaryotic large subunit ribosomal RNA", at positions 91 to 672 of the family's 3401-position model. The record is from RNAcentral. Lineage: Eukaryota; Fungi.
GAGUGAAGCGGCAACAGCUCAAAUUUGAAAUCUGGCUCUUUCAGGUCCGAGUUGUAAUUUGCAGAGGGCGCUUUGGCGUUGGCAGCGGUCCAAGUUCCUUGGAACAGGUCGUCACAGAGGGUGAGAAUCCCGUACGUGGCUGCUGGCCCUCGCCGUGUAAAGCCCCUUCGACGAAGUUCGAGUUGUUUGGGAAUGCAGCUCUAAAUGGGAGGUAAAUUUCUUCUAAAGCUAAAUACUGGCCAGAGACCGAUAGCGCACAAGUAGAGUGAUCGAAAGAUGAAAAGCACUUUGGAAAGAGGAGUCAAACAGCACGUGAAAUUGUUGAAAGGGAAGCGCUUGCAGCCAGACUUGCCAGCCGUUGCUCACCCGAGCUCUUUGUUCGGUGCACUCUUCGGUUGGCAGGCCAGCAUCAGUUUGGGCGGCUGGACAAAGGUCUCUAUCACGUACCUCCUCUCGGGGAGGCCUUAUAGGGGAGACGCCAUGCAGCCAGCCUGGACUGAGGUCCGCGCAUCUGCUAGGAUGCUGGCGUAAUGGCUGUAAGCGGCCCGUCUUGAAACACGGACCAAGGA